UGGGGUAAUGGCUCACCUAGGCGACGAUCCCUAGCUGGUCUGAGAGGAUGACCAGCCACACUGGAACUGAGACACGGUCCAGACUCCUACGGGAGGCAGCAGUGGGGAAUAUUGCACAAUGGGCGCAAGCCUGAUGCAGCCAUGCCGCGUGUGUGAAGAAGGCCUUAGGGUUGUAAAGCACUUUCAGCGAGGAGGAAGGGUUCAGUGUUUUUUUCUUUUUUUCAUUGACGUUACUCGCAGAAGAAGCACCGGCUAACUCCGUGCCAGCAGCCGCGGUAAUACGGAGGGUGCAAGCGUUAAUCGGAAUUACUGGGCGUAAAGCGCACGCAGGCGGUUUGUUAAGUCAGAUGUGAAAUCCCCGCGCUUAACGUGGGAACUGCAUUUGAAACUGGCAAGCUAGAGUCUUGUAGAGGGGGGUAGAAUUCCAGGUGUAGCGGUGAAAUGCGUAGAGAUCUGGAGGAAUACCGGUGGCGAAGGCGGCCCCCUG
Molecule: ribosomal RNA, 487 nt
Filed under: Serratia sp. J36
Lineage: Bacteria; Pseudomonadati; Pseudomonadota; Gammaproteobacteria; Enterobacterales; Yersiniaceae
Description: bacterial SSU rRNA
Rfam family: Bacterial small subunit ribosomal RNA
Source: RNAcentral